RNAcentral lists this long non-coding RNA (236 nucleotides) under Setaria italica (foxtail millet). Its description in RNAcentral is "long non-coding RNA (SITA_LNC002564)". The record is from RNAcentral. Lineage: Eukaryota; Viridiplantae; Streptophyta; Magnoliopsida; Poales; Poaceae.
AGCAAUCCAUCCGUGGUGGCGAGGAACGGCGGCGACACUGUACUGUGACGAUGAAGGGCGUGCCACGAUGCCGUGCGGCGAGAAUGGCAGUGCGACGCAAUAAUGGGUUGCGAGUGAAUGGUCGACGAAGGAAACGAAGUGGCAACUGCGAUUAAUGCUCGGCGGCGUGCGUGAUUAGUGAAGGAAGGCAGCCGAAAGGAUUCCAGCGGCAAACACGACCACGUACGGGGUCACGC